Molecule: ribosomal RNA, 200 nt
Filed under: uncultured bacterium
Lineage: Bacteria
Description: partial 16S ribosomal RNA
Rfam family: Bacterial small subunit ribosomal RNA
Source: RNAcentral
AGAGUUUGAUCAUGGCUCAGGACGAACGCUGGCGGCGUGCCUAAUACAUGCAAGUCGAGCGGACUAGAUGGAGUGCUUGCACUCCUGAUGGUUAGCGGCGGACGGGUGAGUAACACGUAGGUAACCUGCCCAUAAGACUGGGAUAACCCACGGAAACGUGAGCUAAUACCAGAUAGGCAUUUUCCUCGCAUGAGGGAGAU